This 497-nucleotide ribosomal RNA is filed under the name uncultured bacterium. Its description in RNAcentral is "partial 16S ribosomal RNA". It matches the Rfam family "Bacterial small subunit ribosomal RNA", at positions 28 to 507 of the family's 1533-position model. The record is from RNAcentral.
GAUGAACGCUGGCGGCGUGCCUAAUACAUGCAAGUCGAGCGAACAGACGAGGAGCUUUCUCCUCUGACGUUAGCGGCGGACGGGUGAGUAACACGUGGAUAACCUACCUAUAAGACUGGGAUAACUUCGGGAAACCGGAGCUAAUACCGGAUAAUAUAUUGAACCGCAUGGUUCAAUAGUGAAAGACGGUUUUGCUGUCACUUAUAGAUGGAUCCGCGCCGCAUUAGCUAGUUGGUAAGGUAACGGCUUACCAAGGCAACGAUGCGUAGCCGACCUGAGAGGGUGAUCGGCCACACUGGAACUGAGACACGGUCCAGACUCCUAAGGGAGGCAGCAGUAGGGAAUAUUCGGCAAUGGGCGAAAGCCUGACGGAGCAACGCCGCGUGAGUGAUGAAGGUCUUCGGAUCGUAAAACUCUGUUAGUAGGGAAGAACAAAUGUGUAAGUAACUAUGCACGUCUUGACGGUACCUAAACAGAAAGCAACGGCUAACUACGUG